CUCUUCUUCAAAACAGGGGAUGUUCUCCUUUCUUCCCUCCCUCUCAAAUAGGCGUGAAGAGGUCGGCGAUUGAUCACGCACAGUGGCAUCCAGUGACGAUGAUGGCAAAUCCGACCAUUGAAAGAAUUGUGUCCUACAAGCCAAUCGCAUGGGGAUGCGAUGGGAUUUUUCUUUAUUAUCUUCCUACUCAUUUGCAUGAUAUU
Molecule: long non-coding RNA, 203 nt
Filed under: Elaeis guineensis (African oil palm)
Lineage: Eukaryota; Viridiplantae; Streptophyta; Magnoliopsida; Arecales; Arecaceae
Description: long non-coding RNA (EGUI_LNC021515)
Source: RNAcentral